AUUUUACUUCGACAAAGGUUGAAGUAUGUAGCAGGCGAGGGGCAGAGACAAGUGCAGCUAUCUCUUUGAUCACAUCGCUUUAAACAUUUUUCAGCUUUAAGCUUGUCUUACAAAUCAGCUCUAUCAGUCUAUUAAUUGUUUCACUGUACCUAAUAUCUUACGCGAAGGCACCUUGAAAAACAGCAGAAGAAAGCACAUUUGUUUAAGUCCUGCGGUGGCUAGCACGGCAGCUAAUCUCCUUGCAAAUUAUAAUCAUAGUUGUAGUUCAUCCAUUAGGCUGGAAAAGACAAGAUUCCCAAGUGGCCUUGGUGCCUUUUCCAGUUCCCGGGAGACCCACCAACCCCCGGCGUGUGUUGCCUGCGCACCCGGAGCGUUCUUGCUAAUCAGUGAGGAGCUCAACAUAACAGGGAAAAGGAGCACAGGAUGCAGCUACUUGGAGGGUGUUGAUUGAAAACUUCGAUCUCCCCACCCCAUUCACGGUUGAUUUGACGGAUUUCUCACCUCGUUCACAGAAAAUUUCAAUUAAG
RNAcentral lists this long non-coding RNA (527 nucleotides) under Pongo abelii (Sumatran orangutan). RNAcentral's name for it is "lincRNA". The record is from RNAcentral. Lineage: Eukaryota; Metazoa; Chordata; Mammalia; Primates; Hominidae.